GGUUCGAUUCCGGAGAGGGAGGCUGAGAAACGGCUACCACAUCUAAGGAAGGCAGCAGGCGCGUAAAUUACCCAAUCCUGAUUCAGGGAGGUAGUGACAAGAAAUAACAACCCGGGGGAUUCACGUCCUUACGGGAUUGCAAUGAGAACAAUUUAAAUCACUUAACGAGGAUCAAUUGGAGGGCAAGUCUGGUGCCAGCAGCCGCGGUAAUUCCAGCUCCAAUAGUGUAUAUUAAAGUUGUUGCAGUUAAAAAGCUCGUAGUUGAACUUCUGGCAGUGUGCAGUUAUGGUUCUUAUCAGGCUGCAUUGCUGCCAUCCGUCUGCAAACCCUAUGCAACCUUUAGUGGCUUGGUGGGGGGAGUAGACAUUUUACUUUGAAAAAAUUAGAGUGUUUCAAGCAGGUUAUCGCCAGAAUACUUUAGCAUGGAAUAAUGGAACAGGACUCUUGUCCAUUUGGUUGGUUAUUGGACCAGAGUAAUGAUUAACAGGGACAGUUGGGGGCAUUAGUAUUUAAUUGUCAGAGGUGAAAUUCAUGGAUUUAUUAAAGACUAACUUAUGCGAAAGCAUUUGCCAAGGAUGUUUUCAUUAAUCAAGAACGAAAGUUAGGGGAUCAAAGACGAUCAGAUACCGUCCUAGUCUUAACUAUAAGCGAUGUCGACUCGGGAUUGGAAAGGUAUCUUUAUCCUUUCCAGCACCGUAUGAGAAAUCAUUAAGUCUUUGGAUUCUGGGGGGAGUACGGUCGCAAGGCUGAAACUUAAAGGAAUUGACGGAAGAGCACCACCAGGCGUGGGACCUGCGGCUUAAUUUGACCCAACACGGGAAAACUUAUUUCAGCAAAACAUGAGUGGGAUUGACAGAUUGAGAGCUCUUUCUUGAUUUUAUGGGGUGUGGUGCAUGGCCGUUCUUAGUUGGUGGAGUGAUUUGUCUGGUUAAUUCCGUUAACGAACGAGACCUUAACCUGCUAACUAGUCAGGGUGUUAAACUACGCUACUGUACUUCUUAGAGGGACUAUGGGUAACAAGCCCAUGGAAGUUUGAGGCAAUAACAGGUCUGUGAUGCCCAUAGAUGUUGAAAGCGGCACGCGCGUCAUACUGUCCAGUAACAGCAAGUUUACUUCCUCUGCCGGAAGGCUAGGGGUAAUCUAUAAAACUGGACGUGGUAGGGAUAGAUCUUUGGAAUUAUAGAUCUUGAACGAAGAAUGCCUAGUAAGUGCAAGUCAUCAACUUGUGCUGAUUACGUCCCUGUCCUUUGUACACACCGCCCGUCGCUCCUACCGAUUUCGAGCGAUAUGGUGAAUCUCCUGGACCGUGAAGUUCGGCUUUAUGGAAAGUCUAGUAAACCUUAUCGCUUAGAGGAAGGAAAAGUCGUAACAAGGUA
This 1376-nucleotide ribosomal RNA is filed under the name metagenome. Its description in RNAcentral is "SSU rRNA". It matches the Rfam family "Eukaryotic small subunit ribosomal RNA", at positions 374 to 1801 of the family's 1831-position model. The record is from RNAcentral.